This 253-nucleotide ribosomal RNA is filed under the name uncultured bacterium. RNAcentral describes it as "partial 16S ribosomal RNA". It matches the Rfam family "Bacterial small subunit ribosomal RNA", at positions 524 to 776 of the family's 1533-position model. The record is from RNAcentral.
UACGUAGGUGGCAAGCGUUGUCCGGAUUUACUGGGCGUAAAGAGCGCGCAGGCGGUCGUUCAAGUCGUGUGUGAAAGCCCCCGGCUCAACUGGGGAGGGUCACGCGAUACUGAUCGACUCGAAGGCAGGAGAGGGUAGUGGAAUUCCCGGUGUAGUGGUGAAAUGCGUAGAUAUCGGGAGGAACACCAGUGGCGAAGGCGACUACCUGGCCUGUUCUUGACGCUGAGGCGCGAAAGCUAGGGGAGCAAACGGG